RNAcentral lists this transfer RNA (73 nucleotides) under Stegodyphus mimosarum. It matches the Rfam family "tRNA". From Rfam's summary of the family: Transfer RNA (tRNA) molecules are approximately 80 nucleotides in length. The record is from Rfam by way of RNAcentral. Lineage: Eukaryota; Metazoa; Arthropoda; Arachnida; Araneae; Eresidae.
GUCUUUGUGGUGUAGCGGUCAGCACGCUCGGCCUGUAUUCGAGAGGCCCGUGGUUCGAAUUCCAGUGAGGGCA